UCGGCUGUCACUUAUAGAUGGACCCGCGCCGUAUUAGCUAGUUGGUAAGGUAACGGCUUACCAAGGCAACGAUACGUAGCCGACCUGAGAGGGUGAUCGGCCACACUGGAACUGAGACACGGUCCAGACUCCUACGGGAGGCAGCAGUAGGGAAUCUUCCGCAAUGGGCGAAAGCCUGACGGAGCAACGCCGCGUGAGUGAUGAAGGUCUUAGGAUCGUAAAACUCUGUUGUUAGGGAAGAACAAAUUUGUUAGUAACUGAACAAGUCUUGACGGUACCUAACCAGAAAGCCACGGCUAACUACGUGCCAGCAGCCGCGGUAAUACGUAGGUGGCAAGCGUUAUCCGGAAUUAUUGGGCGUAAAGCGCGCGUAGGCGGUUUCUUAAGUCUGAUGUGAAAGCCCACGGCUCGACCGUGGAGGGUCAUUGGAAACUGGGGAACUUGAGUGCAGAAGAGGAGAGUGGAAUUCCAUGUGUAGCGGUGAAAUGCGCAGAUAUACGGAGGAACACCAGUGGCGAAGGCGGAUUGCUGGACGAUAACUGACGCUGAGGCGCGAAAGCGUGGGGAGCAAACAGGAUUAGAUACCCUGGUAGUCCACGCCGUAAACGAUGGAUACUAGGUGUGGGGGGACUGACCCCCUCCGUGCCGCAGUUAACACAGUAA
This 663-nucleotide ribosomal RNA is filed under the name uncultured bacterium. RNAcentral describes it as "bacterial SSU rRNA". It matches the Rfam family "Bacterial small subunit ribosomal RNA", at positions 208 to 863 of the family's 1533-position model. The record is from RNAcentral.